AACGAACGCUGGCGGCAUGCCUAACACAUGCAAGUCGAACGAAGGCUUCGGUCUUAGUGGCGCACGGGUGAGUAACGCGUGGGAAACUGCCUCUUGGUGGGGAAUAACGACGGGAAACUGUCGCUAAUACCGCAUAAGCCCUUCGGGGGAAAGAUUUAUCGCCGAUAGAUGUGCCCGCGUCCGAUUAGCUAGUUGGUGAGGUAAUGGCCCACCAAGGGGACGAUCGGUAGCUGGUCUGAGAGGAUGAACAGCCACACUGGGACUGAGACACGGGCCAGACUCCUACGGGAGGCAGCAGUGGGGAAUAUUGGACAAUGGGCGAAAUCCUGAUCCAGCAAUGCCGCGUGAGUGAUGAAGGCCUUAGGGUUGUAAAGCUCUUUCGGGUGGGACGAUGAUGACGGUACCACCAGAAGAAGCCCCGGCUAACUUCGUGCCAGCCGCCGCCGUAA
This 449-nucleotide ribosomal RNA is filed under the name uncultured bacterium. RNAcentral describes it as "partial 16S ribosomal RNA". It matches the Rfam family "Bacterial small subunit ribosomal RNA", at positions 29 to 523 of the family's 1533-position model. The record is from RNAcentral.